GAUAUUAUUACUAGUGCCAAGGAAUAAUGUGCCUUUUAGCAGGCUAUCUCUGCUCCUUAUACCCUUCGAGCUUCCACUCUAAUGGCUACCUCUCCUCUCUCCAUUCCUCUCAAUGUUAUCAACUCUCAUCAUGCCAUUGCCAACCCCUUUGUUCCAGAGGUUGUAACAGCAGUAGAUGCCUUACAUUUAGAGUUUAGGGCUGUGGAUAAUUUGGUUGCCUGCAAUACCACUCGUGUCCUUAGAGCUUUUCAGAAUGCUCGAGUUGGAUCUCAUCACUUUGGUGGUAGCACUGGUUAUGGUCAUGAUGAAGCUGGGGGUCGAGGAGCUCUUGACCAGGCUUUUGCAGAAAUUGUUGGGGCUGAGUCAGCUAUUGUUCGUUCACAGUUCUUCUCAGGUACUCAUGCUAUCACAUGUGCUUUAUUUGCUCUCCUGAGGCCUGGAGAUGAGCUUUUGGCAGUUGCUGGAGCUCCCUAUGACACACUAGAGGAAGUAAUUGGGAAAAGGGACUCUGGUGGACUGGGUUCUCUCCAAGAUUUCGGGGUGAAGUACCGAGAAGUUCCGCUUGCUGAGGAUGGUGGACUUGAUUGGAAUUCGCUGAUGAGUGCUGUCAAACCCAAAACAAAAUGUGCCCUCAUACAACGGUCAUGUGGUUAUUCAUGGCGCCGGAGUUUGAGUGUCAAUGACAUAGCAAGAGCAAUAAAAAUAAUCAAGGUGCAAAAUCCCAGCUGCUCAGUCAUGGUGGACAAUUGCUAUGGUGAAUUUGUUGAAAGCAUUGAACCUCCCAUGGUGGGUGCAGAUUUGAUUGCAGGCAGUUUGAUCAAGAAUCCAGGUGGAACAAUUGCACCAUGUGGGGGAUAUGUUGCUGGGAAGCAAAAAUGGGUUGAAGCAGCUGCAGCUCGUCUUUCUGCACCUGGACUUGGCUUGGAUUGUGGCGCAAUUCCGGGUGAUAUCAUGCGAGCCUUUUUCCAGGGAUUAUUUCUUUCACCUCAAAUGGUUGGGGAAGCAAUCAAGGGUUCCUUCCUGAUUGCUGAAGUGUUGGCAUCUAAAGGAUAUAAAGUGCAGCCACUCCCCCGUGUCCCCCGUUCUGAUACAGUUCAGGCUGUCCAGCUAGGAAGUCGUGAGCGUCUCCUUGCAUUCUGUGAGGCUGUUCAGAGAAGCUCUCCAGUCGGUUCAUAUACCAAACCAGUUGCAGGCACCACUGCCGGAUAUGCAUCAGAGGUCUACUCAGAUUUGUCUCCACAAUCUACACCCAAAUCUAUAAUCUUUUGUGAUCUUUGCUGAUGGAACUUUCAUUGAUGGAAGUACAAGUGAGCUUUCGUGUGAUGGUCCUCUUAGAGAGCCUUUUGCUGUAUUUUGUCAAGGUGGCACCCAUUGGACUCAGUGGGGAUUAGUCCUUGGAGAAGUUUUGAAAUCUCUUUGACAGAAUCAUUUUUGAGAGAGUAAGUUCAUACAAAAUUUCAGUAUUCAAUCACACUUCACGAACACCAGUUAAAAUUUAUAUAUACCCUCACUGGUAGAAUUUGUAGCUAGUGUUUAGCUAGUUUAUCGCACUCUUCAUUCUGUUUGAAGGAAGUUUUCGGGGAUCAGAUUUUGAUGCUUUGUAGUUUGUACUUAGUUGAUCAAUCUUGUCAAGACUUGUAGAAAUUCAACACAAGUAAUUUCUCAUAUUUGUAUGUGUAAUCUUUAGUAAUUCAACUUUCAUUUUUUGUUUU
Vigna radiata var. radiata (mung bean) is the source of this 1712-nucleotide RNA transcript. RefSeq lists it as uncharacterized. The record is from RefSeq and is a predicted model, not a curated record. NCBI's taxonomy places the organism in Eukaryota, Viridiplantae, Streptophyta, Magnoliopsida, Fabales, Fabaceae. The transcript has 12 exons.